Molecule: ribosomal RNA, 719 nt
Filed under: Pseudomonas protegens
Lineage: Bacteria; Pseudomonadati; Pseudomonadota; Gammaproteobacteria; Pseudomonadales; Pseudomonadaceae
Description: bacterial SSU rRNA
Rfam family: Bacterial small subunit ribosomal RNA
Source: RNAcentral
GCUCAGAUUGAACGCUGGCGGCAGGCCUAACACAUGCAAGUCGAGCGGCAGCACGGGUACUUGUACCUGGUGGCGAGCGGCGGACGGGUGAGUAAUGCCUAGGAAUCUGCCUAGUAGUGGGGGAUAACGUCCGGAAACGGGCGCUAAUACCGCAUACGUCCUACGGGAGAAAGUGGGGGAUCUUCGGACCUCACGCUAUNAGAUGAGCCUAGGUCGGAUUAGCUAGUUGGUGAGGUAAUGGCUCACCAAGGCGACGAUCCGUAACUGGUCUGAGAGGAUGAUCAGUCACACUGGAACUGAGACACGGUCCAGACUCCUACGGGAGGCAGCAGUGGGGAAUAUUGGACAAUGGGCGAAAGCCUGAUCCAGCCAUGCCGCGUGUGUGAAGAAGGUCUUCGGAUUGUAAAGCACUUUAAGUUGGGAGGAAGGGCAGUUACCUAAUACGUGAUUGUUUUGACGUUACCGACAGAAUAAGCACCGGCUAACUCUGUGCCAGCAGCCGCGGUAAUACAGAGGGUGCAAGCGUUAAUCGGAAUUACUGGGCGUAAAGCGCGCGUAGGUGGUUUGUUAAGUUGGAUGUGAAAGCCCCGGGCUCAACCUGGGAACUGCAUCCAAAACUGGCAAGCUAGAGUAUGGUAGAGGGUGGUGGAAUUUCCUGUGUAGCGGUGAAAUGCGUAGAUAUAGGAAGGAACACCAGUGGCGAAGGCGACCACCUGGAC